ACAUGGGGCUCAAACUCGCUACCCUCGGAUCAAGAAUCACAUCCUCUACUGACUGAGCUACCCAGGCACCCCCAGAUCUGUUUCAUAUUAGGUGGUCAUAGAAGGUCGGAAAAACCAGAAUCAUGAUCUGAAGACAGGAGAGGACAAGCUUGCAGCAUCCUCUAGGCCCACCCAGCCUUUGGAUGACUGCAACCCUGGCCAGCACCUUGAUGACCACCUCCUGAGAUCUCUUGAGCCAGAACUGCCAAGUAGCUAAGCCACUACUUGAUGCUUGACCCUCAGAAACUGUUGGUGAUUUAUGUCUCUUCAUGGAUUUUAAAAUGAGAGUUUCAGUUUUUUCCUUUAAUUUCCAUCAAGAACCAGUACAACAGUAUAAAGGUACAAAUAGGAACCACUAGAAAACCUCAGAAAUGCAUGAUUCAAGGAUUUUGCAAGAUUAACAAAGGGUCAAGAUUUAGACAAAAGCUAACUCCUAAAGAUGCAGUUUAACAUUUCUCCUGGUACCCUCUUGGAUCAUCAAAGCAGCUGUGGCAGAUCAUAUAUUCCAAAAUGCCAGAACAAU
Long non-coding RNA from Lutra lutra (Eurasian river otter), 562 nucleotides. RefSeq lists it as uncharacterized. The transcript is spliced from 3 exons. NCBI's taxonomy places the organism in Eukaryota, Metazoa, Chordata, Mammalia, Carnivora, Mustelidae. The record is from RefSeq and is a predicted model, not a curated record.